RNAcentral lists this small RNA (830 nucleotides) under Pongo abelii (Sumatran orangutan). Its description in RNAcentral is "processed transcript". The record is from RNAcentral. Lineage: Eukaryota; Metazoa; Chordata; Mammalia; Primates; Hominidae.
AAAGAUGGAGGUGUGGGGACAGGAGAUGGGUGUGCUGGGGACUGGCCGCGGACCCCUAACCUAUGUCCCCGGUAUCCCUCCGGGAGCGGCUCAACCCAGCCCAUCGCUCUGGCCCCGUUCUGGCCCUGCAGGGUGGUGGUUGGGACCGUGAAAUGAGCGCGCGAGUGGUACGUCCGCUCUCCGCGCUCACGCCCCCCCCCCACCGUGUUUCCCGCCAGGACCAUCAGCACGUGCCCAUCGACAUCCAGACCAGCAAGCUGCUCGAUUGGCUGGUGGACAGAAGGCACUGCAGCCUGAAAUGGCAGAGUCUGGUGCUGACGAUCCGCGAGAAGAUCAAUGCUGCCAUCCAGGAUAUGCCAGAGAGCGAAGAGAUCGCCCAGCUGCUGUCUGGGUCCUACAUUCACUACUUUCACUGCCUAAGAAUCCUGGACCUUCUCAAAGGCACAGAGGCCUCCACGAAAAAUAUUUUUGGCCGAUACUCUUCACAGCGGAUGAAGGAUUGGCAGGAGAUUAUAGCCCUGUAUGAGAAGGACAACACCUACUUAGCCUCCUGGUUCGGAAUGUCAACUAUGAGAUCCCCUCACUGAAGAAGCAGAUUGCCAAGUGCCAGCAGCUGCAGCAAGAAUACAGCCGCAAGGAGGAGGAGUGCCAGGCAGGGGCUGCCGAGAUGCGGGAGCAGUUCUACCACUCCUGCAAGCAGUAUGGUAUCAUGGGCGAAAAUGUCCGAGGAGAACUGCUGGCCCUGGUGAAGGACCUGCCGAGUCAGCUGGCUGAGAUUGGGGCAGCGGCUCAGCAGUCCCUGGGGGAAGCCAUUGACGUGUACCAGGCGU